RNAcentral lists this long non-coding RNA (6687 nucleotides) under Homo sapiens (human). RNAcentral describes it as "HSALNT0313446". The record is from RNAcentral. Lineage: Eukaryota; Metazoa; Chordata; Mammalia; Primates; Hominidae.
UGGGCGACAGAGAGAGACUCCAUCUCAAAAACAAAACAAAACAAAACAAAAAAAACAAAAAGUGAAGCCAACUCAAUUGUCUCAUAGAACUGAUCUUUACGGUGUUUUUAAAUAAACAUAGAAAUUGGCCCUCCCAGUCUUAAAACUUCAAAAACUUACAUUUGUCUUACCUCAGUUCCUUUCUCAGGAAUCCAAUCAUCAAGGCUCCCAGAUAGUAUCAAUGAACGGAAACUUACCAGAUCACGAUAUCUGGACAAUGAGAUGUCAGAUCCCCCUCAUCCAUCCUGAUUACCUAACUGACUACCUGCUUCCUGUUGGCCAACUACUCUUCCUUACCCCUCCCUAAUUCUUGUUUUCCCACAAAUGGUUACAUUUCUGUCCUGCUAUAGAAGCCCUUAAUUUUAAUUGGUCGAGGAGAUGGAUUUGAGACUGAUUUUUUGCUCUCCUUGGCUGUUGCACCUGAAUAGCCUUUUUCCCUGGCAAUACUUUUUGUCUCAGUGAUUGGCUUUCUGUGCAGUGAGCAAUGGGACCAAACUUCUGGUGUUUUGGUAACAAAUUUUGGUUUCCUGACUGUGAAUGCAUUGCUUGUGACUCAGCUGCCAUGAGCUGGGAGAGUUUCAAAAGCCCUCUAAGCAGCUACCUGACCAUUUUGGCCAGAGGUGGAUUUUCGUCUCUCCCCAUUUGGGCCCACUUCUGCCAACCCCAACCAUGUUCCUGAUUGCCUAGGAAGAACAGCCUUUGAAAUUUGACGUCUAUGUACAGAAAGAGUAAAAGACAAGCUUCUGUGGAAAGGGCAACAAACACUAUCACCCUCAGACCAGAGGUGAACAUCCUUUGCAGCAAGGUGAAAGAGAUACAAAACACCCUCUGCCCUUGAAGGAGAGACAGGAGACGCCUCUGUUGGCUUCUCUGCUGCUUAACAGAAGUCAUGAGAUGCCUGGGUAACUGACAAAGAACAAAGGACAGUAAUAGCAGUAGCCAGAGUAUCAGCAUAAUUUCCUCAUGCCUGUUCCCCAGACCCUGACAUUCAGAGGACCAGGUGACUCCUAUAGACACGUAAGGGUAUGGAAACUCCCUGACUUAGUUUUCAGCAUUCCAAGAAUUGCCCCGCAAGAAAAAAUGGCCAACACGAUAUCUGCCCACCUCUCGGUGGUUUCAGAGUCUCUGUGAUCUUGGCACCUUAAGUUCUAGCAGCUUCAGCCAGUCUCUAAUGCCUCAAAUCUAAACUUUUUCUAUUUUCCCUGUAUUUCACGUGGGUUUUCUUUUCCUUGAGUUGCUUGCAAGAUGCUUCAACUUAGCCACACCUGGAAUAUAUUACAUAUUUGUUUCUUGUUUAUUUUCCAUCUUCUUCUUUAGGAACGUAAGCUCUGUGAAGUUCGGUUACUUUGGCUUCUUCUCUAAUAAAUCCCCAGUGUCUUGAAAAGCACGUGGCAAUUGGUAGGCACUUAAUAAUGUUAAGUAAAUAGACAAUAGACAGCUGAGUUCACAUAGGUAAAAAAUAAUAAAACCACAAUUUAAAAAUUUUGUUUUCUAUCUUGAUGCCUACUGACAUAUAUAGUAGUUUCUACAUUUACCCGUAUCUCUGUUGGUACAUGUUUUCUUAGUAAAAAGAGUGCAUAUUUUUAGCACAUUGGUUUAUUAGUGCAUAUUUAUGUCUUUAGCUAUAAUCAAGAGGAGAUGUAUGAAUGUUCUUUGAGUUUAGAAAGAGUUACUUUAUUCUCUAGGACCCCAAAAAGGUGUAAACAAACAGAUUAUUUUAUGCACACAUCUGAUUCUUUCCUUUCUUGUAGAGUCCUUUCAAGUCUCUGCAGCUUCAAGCUUGCUGACUUCUUUGAUCAAAAACUGCACUCAUUUUGGAACCAGUUAAAAGGUUGUGUUUUAUAGGAAGUCUUUUAAGAGUUUUUUUCCAGGUGACUCAGUUACUCUCAUCUCUGUGUCGGUUCUUCUGUUAUAGAACUUAUUAUAUUGCCUUUUAGUUAUUUGUUUACAUGUCUGGGUUUCCACCUAAUUACUGAGCUCGUUACAUAAAUAUCUUUGUAUCCUUAGUACCUAGCACACAGCCAGGCGCAUAGAAGUAUCUUAGAAAAUAUUGGCUGGAUGCAUUAUUAAGCUAAGAAUGUUGUCUAGCUUGGGAGUAUGUACAUUUUCAAAAGAUGACAACGAAAUGACACUUUCUAAUUUUGGGAUUUUAGUUAGCAAUUCUCUGUGUAUAAGAGCUAUUGGGAUAGCAGAGAGGCCUUCUCAGAACCACUGGACUCUAUUAUUCUGUUUAUUCCUGAACUUACAAACUUUAAAUAUCUUUUUAUAGCUGAUAAUUCUAUGAAUCAGCCUUAACAUUCAGAGGUGGGGCAAAUGGUGUCAUGUAGGUGGUGUAAUUUAAAGGAAACCAGUAAGAUUUUCCUUCCUCUAAAUUUCCUUUAUUUGUGUUUGAGAUUCCAUAUAUCUAUUGCCUUGUUUUAGCUCUGCAGUCAUGCUGUAGACUAAUCUUAAAACAGAAAUCUGUAGAGACAUGCAUUAAUUUAUUAACCAGAUCAUUUAUCUUCAUGGUAGGAGAAAUCUGGAGAGGCAGGAGCUCUGUAUACCUGGAGAAAGGUAGGAACGACAGGAAGGGAAGAGCAGAGAAAGCAAGGAUGAUAAUUAGGGACGCCAAAGACCAAAUGUGAGUUAUUGACACCUCUGUCAAAAUUUAAUCUUCCCUUGAGGUGGUAUUUUUAUAUAAUAUUGUCCUAACCUGCCAAAAGAGGUGAUGCAAAUAGUACUAUAAACAUCUUUGUGUUUAUUUAGUGGAAUAUUAUAUGUAUUAUAUUAUGAUCCAGAUGGGGAAAAGAUUAGGGUUUCAAAAAGCAUAUAAAGGCCACUUAGUAACAAAUUUACAGAGAUGAAAAUAUCCCAGUGUUUUCUGUUUCUCAUUUAACUAUUCAAAUCACAUAUGAAGAUAGCUGUUUUAUCCUAUUUUUGCUCUUUUUACCACCACAUGGUAAUAAUUAAAAGACCUUUACUAUAAAUCACCCAGUUGUCUAUAGAUUUUGGGUUGCUUUUCAUAGGUUGAUGACAAUGUAAGUGCCUUGGACUGUAAGUACUACCAUUUGGCAUAAUCUUGCUCUAUACUUGCAAAAUAAUAUUCUUUUAUUAUAGAAAUGGACUACUGUCUCUCACCAGCAAUCUUUAAAGGAUACAGAUACAGGUAAAAAGAUGGUGACUCAAGGCUUAGAUAAGUUGGCCACCACCCACAUUCAUAUCUAUAAGCCUUUUCUCUGUAUACGCUUAGAAUAUGGAGCUAUGUUUUCUAUGUAUGUGAUAUAAUUAAGUAACCCUAAGCUUCUAUGAAAAAAAUACAUUUUUGCUUUGAAGAAUUUAUCUAACAGGGGACUCAGCAUCUGGAGGGAGUAAGUUAUAACCAACCCAAGAAUUUUUUUGUCAGUUCUUCUGCCCUCAUCUCCCCCAAUAAUAUAUAGAACUUGAACCCAUUUCUAUCCUUACCCAGUCUCUUUGUCUUCCUGGUGGAACACUAAGGAGCUCACAGUUCUCACUUCUAGGAGACAAAAGUAUCCAGGGAUUUGAAGCACAGAAUCCAGACUUUGUCUCUUAAUAACUGUAAUCUUGGUCAAGAUAUCUAAUCCCCAGAUUCCAUCUGCUCAUCUGUUAAAGUGAGGUUUAAAAACAGUACCUACCUAUAGGGUUGUAGUGAGGGUUAAAUAAGAUAAGGCACACAAAGCACAAUGCUGGAAAACAACAAACAUUUCAUAAAUAAUAGUUGCUAUUAUUCUUAUAGUUAGUGUAAUAGUAUUCCCCCUUCAUGCCCCUCAUGUUUCCAUGAAGGGGAGAGAAUUACUACUUCACUCUCUAGAAAAAAUUACAGUGGGUUGGGGAGAGAACCUCUAUCCUUUCUCUUUUUAUUCCUACCCAUGGGUGGGAGAGUGAAUAAUUUUAUUUGGAACAUGGAAGUCCUAAUGUGUCAAUUUCAGCUCCUUAUCACUUCCCAGAUAUAAUUUGUCCACAGCACAUACAAUUCAGGUGUUCCUUUCACCAAGCCUGCCUCAAUAGACAAGGCUUGUGGUUAUCCAGAUAUGCCAAUGUCUGGUUUAGGAUAAAGCCUAAACAAGCCACUUUAACUACAGAUCUUGAGCUAUAUUCUGCAAUAAGCUUUAUCAGUAGUGUGAUCAUUUUAUAUCCAUGUGUCCAACUUUCCUUUCUUCCUAUUUGUUUUACAGUUGAAUGAGGAAGGUAAAAAGGGCUGUUUAUUUGCUUUCCUGUCCCCCCAAGUUUUUGUUCUCUAAAUCAUUGCUGUGUCCUUGGGUGCUCUUAACUGCAAUUAUCACCAUGGAAUUCCUUUAUAUUUUGAGCCUUAGGCAGUUUUCUCCAUCUGCUGGCUGUGCACUUGCCAGGCAGUGGCCAUUGCCCUUAUUGAACUGGUUCCACAAAUGCCUUUGGCCUGCUCCCAUCACAGCUGCUGAGCUGAUGUGAGAGAUGGUGCUGCCUUAGACACUUUCUCAGUGUUUGUUCCUGCCACUUCCACUGUUGCCAUGGCAGACAUAGGUGCCUUCUCCAGAAGCAGUUAGUAUCUUCUAGUCCUGUGCACCCUGUCUGGGCCUCUGGCGCUCUCCUCUGCAACAGAAGUAAGACACUUCUCCAAAUAUUUAGGACACGCAUUGUGUUGAAUCUACCCACAUUGUGAGAAACGUCACUUUUCUAUUCCCAUGCACAUUUCCCCCCCAUUGGAAGCACAGAUUUUCUCCUUAGAAGCACUCCCAUUAUAGAGUAUGCACCCUUAAUUCUUUCCUUUUGGGUAUCUUCUCCCCUAUAGUAAGAAGAAACCUUCCUUCUAGAUUUAGCUGACAGCUGCUGAAACGAAUACCCUGAUCAAGGAUUGUGAGGCCGGAAGCAAAGGCAUAUUGUCAGUCACGCAGGAAUUUUUUGGCCCAUGUUUUGUGCAAACAGCUGCUGCAUUUUCAAUUUUGAACUUGGCAGACCUUAUUUUAAAUCUGCUUUGCCAAAAACUGUGGCUCUUUUGCCUUAUUUUUCUUUUCUCCCAAUUGGAAAAAAAGAAAGGGUCAAAUAGAGAGCUAAAGUGGGGUCAAUAUGGAGUUGAAUCUCUAGCAAAUGCUACUAUGUAUUUAUCAGCAUCACAUAUUUUGGGGGUAUUUGUGUGGCCAGUCCAUUUAGGUAUGUAUGUAUGUAGGUAUGUGUGUAGGUAUGUAUGGAGCAAAUAAAUCAUAGGCAACCAUGAAAUUUAUGGUUUGUUAUGGUUUUCUAAUGUCUGAGGAGAUUUCUGGUCUAGUAAAAUGCAUAUAUAUAAGUUCCCUUGCAACCCUGUAAUGGUGUUUAUUUCUUUUCCUAAGAUUUCUUAUAUCAAAUAUUCUUCUUGAAAUCAUUCGCCACCAGUUGGUUUUAAAAAGUCAGGAAGAUAAUUUAUGACACAUGAGACUCAAAAGUCUCCAUUUUUUUGUUGUUGCUAUUCAAUGGUUCCUAAUUUCCUACAGAAUAAAUUUCUAACCUUUAUCUGGGUAUAAAGGGAAUGCCUUUCAAUACCCGGCAUGAAACUCUUUCCACCUUGCAUCCUGGAGCACCUCUUUCUUGCCUCCUCCUUAACUUCUUUGUCAUCUUCCUGUUUCCUGGUGCCCAUAAUUCUAACUGAGUGAUUUUUGGGGGGGAACAUGUCAUGCACUUUUAUGCCUCUGAGAAUUUCUUCAUGAUAUUUGCAUCAGAUUUUACUUUAAAUUUUUUUUUCUUUCCCUUGCCUGCUUGGAGAAUUCAUACUCAUCCUUCAGGACCCAACACAAACAAUACCUUUAUAAAGUCGUUAAGUUAAUUGUUCAAUAUUUCUUUGUUUGAAUGUUUGCCUUAUCAACUAGUGAGCUCUGCAAGGGUGAGAUAUAAACUUAUUCACCAAGUUCCUUCCCAGCACUUAUGCUUAUUGUAUUGGGGUGGAAAGAGGAAGAGGAAACAGACAUCUGUCUUCUUAUAUGACUGCCUGCUAUGGCAUCACUUUUCCUAUUUGUUAUUACCACAGGUACAAACUGUUGCCUAAGGAUACAGGGUGUGUGGCUGGUGGCCUCAACAGGCCCCACGGCUCAGGCACUCAGACCCAAGCUGGUCCCUCAGCCCAUAUUACUAAAUGCCUGACUUCAGAAAAAAAACGUAAACAAAAGACAGAGAUUGGAAGCAUCAGAAUUUUAUUCCAGUGACUCAAUCCCCAUUGUGUGAAGUAGACCAGAAUGAAUAAAUUGAACUUACUCAGCACCUCAAUUAUUAAAUGUAUCCACAGAAAUUCAUUCUGUCAAGUUAACUGUGGAGGUUGUUGUUGCUAUUGCAGACUAAAUGGUUUUCCUGGGAACUCUGACUCUGGCCACAAGAUCAAGACUGACAAAUUUCCUUUCUCUGUUUAUGGAGGGAGACUUCACAACAUUCACUGAAAGAGGAGCAAAGGACCUGGUUUUUGCCAUGACUGGCUUUGGCCCCGUGAAUGAAUGUUUUUCUGGCAUUGGAAAGCGGAUAGCAAAGAGAGCAGAACCACAAAUGGGCUAUGAGGAAAUGUGUUCAAUGAAGAAAACAAAAUCUCUGACAAGAUCCAACAUAGGACAACAUCUCAGCAUCUUCUGUGAUUUGUGAACCCAAGUAAAGCACUUCUUAGAGUUAUCUGGCACAUUCGCAACUAAUAGCUUUCUGUGAAUAAAUACUGUGGCAACC